Molecule: ribosomal RNA, 571 nt
Filed under: Fusarium solani
Lineage: Eukaryota; Fungi; Ascomycota; Sordariomycetes; Hypocreales; Nectriaceae
Description: eukaryotic LSU rRNA
Rfam family: 5.8S ribosomal RNA (bases 184-337)
Source: RNAcentral
UUCCGUAGGGUGAACCUGCGGAGGGAUCAUUACCGAGUUAUACAACUCAUCAACCCUGUGAACAUACCUAUAACGUUGCCUCGGCGGGAACAGACGGCCCCGUAACACGGGCCGCCCCCGCCAGAGGACCCCCUAACUCUGUUUCUAUAAUGUUUCUUCUGAGUAAACAAGCAAAUAAAUUAAAACUUUCAACAACGGAUCUCUUGGCUCUGGCAUCGAUGAAGAACGCAGCGAAAUGCGAUAAGUAAUGUGAAUUGCAGAAUUCAGUGAAUCAUCGAAUCUUUGAACGCACAUUGCGCCCGCCAGUAUUCUGGCGGGCAUGCCUGUUCGAGCGUCAUUACAACCCUCAGGCCCCCGGGCCUGGCGUUGGGGAUCGGCGGAAGCCCCCUGCGGGCACAACGCCGUCCCCCAAAUACAGUGGCGGUCCCGCCGCAGCUUCCAUUGCGUAGUAGCUAACACCUCGCAACUGGAGAGCGGCGCGGCCACGCCGUAAAACACCCAACUUCUGAAUGUUGACCUCGAAUCAGGUAGGAAUACCCGCUGAACUUAAGCAUAUCAAUAAGCGGAGGAA